UCUGCCUCAGGCUCCCAAAGUGCUGGGAUUACAGGCGUUUCUUUGGAUUCCCAUGUCCUUCAAGUGCUUUGCAACUUUGAGAAGAAGAAAUUGACCACCUGGACUAUGGAACUGUGCAUAACAGCUUUGAAAGUGUAUUUAAAAAUUAAAUCCAUACGCCUUUAAAUCAGUAAAUUGGAAAUAUAUUACAUGUAUUGUAAUGACUUUCCUCAGAUAUAAUAAAUUGUUUUCUUUCCAAUGGAA
Molecule: long non-coding RNA, 243 nt
Organism: Homo sapiens (human)
Lineage: Eukaryota; Metazoa; Chordata; Mammalia; Primates; Hominidae
Exons: 2
Source: RefSeq, a predicted model, not a curated record